AUCAGCAACAGGAAUAAAGAUAAUUCAAAGAACAUCAAGUAUCCACACACACUAGGACGAAAAAGUUUUGCUAGGAAGAGGAAGGAAGUGGAAGAUGCUCUUGGAAGAGAGGUGGAUCGAGCAACUUUCUUUGAUGAAUGCCAUAAAACUAAGGAUGGUGUGUAUGUGAAUGCCUUAACAGAGGAAAAAAUGAAUGAGGUAUAUAUGAAAUUGGCUGAGAAAAAUUUAGAUGGGCAUGAACUUACGGAGCAAGAUUAUGAAAAAGCUAUGAAAGAAGCAUUUGGGAAGGACCACCCUGGCCGUGUUCGUGGAAUGGGCCCAACAAUUACUGCAUCAAAAUAUUUUGGUGGGAGGUUUUCCACUUUGUCAAGAGAUGAAGCAGGAACAAGCAGUAGUAGCACACAUGAUGGACUCAUGAAA
Molecule: non-coding RNA, 420 nt
Organism: Lolium perenne
Lineage: Eukaryota; Viridiplantae; Streptophyta; Magnoliopsida; Poales; Poaceae
Source: RefSeq, a predicted model, not a curated record